Dermacentor andersoni is the source of this 545-nucleotide non-coding RNA. NCBI's taxonomy places the organism in Eukaryota, Metazoa, Arthropoda, Arachnida, Ixodida, Ixodidae. The record is from RefSeq and is a predicted model, not a curated record.
UCCGGAUUGUCACUCAACAGACAAUCAUAUGUAUGCGGUCAACGAAGUCCAGUUGCUAACAGAACUGCAUUUUCUGUUUUCUGUUUCUUUAGGGAAACAAAGCCCACGUCCUCAGGUAUAUUCAAGCUGCGAAGAUAAGAGCUACCAUUGACCUAGUUUGGAAAAUUCUGAUAUUUUGCUUCGCUACUGGUUCCAAUCUGGAGUUCCCAUCAGAAGAAUCAAAGGUAGGGGCGGGCGAUAGCCGGAACACUACCACAACUGGAGUUGACCUUCUGGUCGAAAUGCUUGCUCUGUCGAUGGCAUUGGCCAUCAUGUUGAUGGUGCUGCUCAUCGAAGUCUCCUACAAAUGGUUCGUCAUCUGGAGGAUUGAAGCGUAUGCGGCGAAUAUGCCGAACUAGAUUGCGCUGCCCUUGAAUAUAUUCUCCCUUUUGGUAUAGCUUUUGUAUUUCACAAAAUACCUUUUAAUGAGCCUUAUGCUUCAAAGUUCGAGUACGUUUACCUUUUAUGCUGCCUAAAUGGCUUUUGAAUAAAAUUUGCUCAAGAGA